UUCCUGGUGUAGCGGUGGAAUGCGCAGAUAUCAGGAGGAACACCGAUGGCGAAGGCAGGUCUCUGGGCUGUAACUGACGCUGAGGAGCGAAAGCAUGGGGAGCGAACAGGAUUAGAUACCCUGGUAGUCCAUGCCGUAAACGUUGGGCACUAGGUGUGGGGACCAUUCCACGGUUUCCGCGCCGCAGCUAACGCAUUAAGUGCCCCGCCUGGGGAGUACGGCCGCAAGGCUAAAACUCAAAGGAAUUGACGGGGGCCCGCACAAGCGGCGGAGCAUGCGGAUUAAUUCGAUGCAACGCGAAGAACCUUACCAAGGCUUGACAUGUUCUCGAUCGCCGUAGAGAUACGGUUUCCCCUUUGGGGCGGGUUCACAGGUGGUGCAUGGUUGUCGUCAGCUCGUGUCGUGAGAUGUUGGGUUAAGUCCCGCAACGAGCGCAACCCUCGUUCCAUGUUGCCAGCACGUAAUGGUGGGGACUCAUGGGAGACUGCCGGGGGUCAACUCGGAGGAAGGUGAGGACGACGUCAAAUCAUCAUGCCCCUUAUGUCUUGGGCUUCACGCAUGCUACAAUGGCCGGUACAAUGGGUUGCGAUACUGUGAGGUGGAGCUAAUCCCAAAA
Molecule: ribosomal RNA, 616 nt
Filed under: Micrococcus luteus
Lineage: Bacteria; Bacillati; Actinomycetota; Actinomycetes; Micrococcales; Micrococcaceae
Description: bacterial SSU rRNA
Rfam family: Bacterial small subunit ribosomal RNA
Source: RNAcentral